This 252-nucleotide ribosomal RNA is filed under the name uncultured bacterium. RNAcentral describes it as "partial 16S ribosomal RNA". It matches the Rfam family "Bacterial small subunit ribosomal RNA", at positions 524 to 776 of the family's 1533-position model. The record is from RNAcentral.
UACGUAGGGUGCAAGCGUUAAUCGGAAUUACUGGGCGUAAAGCGUGCGCAGGCGGUUAUGUAAGACAGAUGUGAAAUGCCCGGGCUUAACCUGGGAACUGCAUUUGUGACUGCAUGGCUAGAGUUUGGCAGAGGGGGUAGAAUUCCACGUGUAGCAGUGAAAUGCGUAGAUAUGUGGAGGAACACCGAUGGCGAAGGCAGCCCCCUGGGUCAAGACUGACGCUCAUGCACGAAAGCGUGGGGAGCAAACAGG